UAGUAGAGAGUCAAAAUUCACCUCACAAAGAACUGUGUUGACGAACAUAACUUCCAAAACAGAGCCGACCCAGAAAUUGAUCUUCUUAGACGAGCACAAAGCCACCAUCUUUGCUGCAGAACCAAGCUCAGAACUAAGAUUUUCGUGUUCGCCCAAUACAGAGAAAGAGCCGAGACGAAAGAAAGGGAGAAGAGAAUGGGGAAGAAGGAAGAGAAGGAGAAGAGACAGACCGGAAGCUCUUGAUUAAAACAACACAAGUGGAAGAGUCUGUGGGUUCUACAGUUUGAGAUCUGGGUAACUCACUGCAAGAGCUUCAAGGUAUGGUUUUUAUCUUUCAUAAUUCACUAUUUAUGUUCCAUGAAUGAGAUGCAUCGUUACAUACUGUGAUCUUUUGCUUUCUGUCAUUACAAAUCUGUAUUCUAAGCUCACUCUCUUCUGUCAGCUUCUUUAAAACUCUCUACCAUUUUUCCCAGGUCUUCAUCUGCUACUUCUUAACUAGAAAAGAGAUAGAAACCCUAUGAUAAAAAACCUCAUCUGAAGAACCUUUUCACUUUAUCACUGUUAUAAACUUUACGGUUUGUAGAUAAUUCAUCAAUUUAAUUAAUUAUCAACUACUUUAGUUUCAUAUGCAUCUUAUUAUAGGUUUUAAGUUUAAAUUAGAUUCUUUUCUACUUCAAUUAUGCGCAUUUUCAUUUACUAAUAAUGAAUAGAAGCAUGGGUUUCAUAAAUUACAGUGGUAACUGCUGCUAAGAUGAUUGUUGUUUUCAUAUUGGGGUUUUUGUAUAGUACUUUUGUUUGUUUUGUGGAUUCAUUAGGUGAGAAAAAGUUUUGGCCAAGGAAAGGAAUUUGAGCUAUUUCAAAUUUUCUAGAAUUUUGACCCAGCCACUUACUUUUGCAAAACUGUACUGAUCUACUCGGAAUUUACCAUCUGUUCUUAAUUUCAGAUCUUAAUUACUUUUCUGCUGAUAUUGAUGUGCGUUACGGAUUCAUACUUAGUGCUCAACUUUCAAUUGAAUCUAUGUCAUAUUUAUAGUCAGUGAAUGCUGUUCUGUUGGGUUUGUAUUCUAUUUAUGUUCCAAUGCUCCUCUUUCCUCAAACUUUUACGUCUGUUUGUAGAUAGAUGAAUUAGUAUUGAGAUACCCUCGAUAGUUUUUAUUGUCUUCUAAUUCUACUACGAUGGAACAUUUUUGAUAAUCGGUGUUUCUUUCUUUUGGUAUUGUGUCCAGUGUUUUGCGUGUUGAGUAACUGAAGUUUGUACCUAGAAGAGUGGGUUCAUUGUGAAAGCGUUUAAGCUGAUUUUCUUCAAUUUGUUAUGUGUUUUACUUUCCUCUCUGUUCUGAAGCAUUUACAGACCUACAGCAGCUUCAUAUUGUAAGUUUCCAUGUGGAUGAUACAAAAGCCACCUUGAAUGUUUGUUUGGAUAAGCAAUUUAUUGGUGAGGAGUUGUAUUUUCAAACUGUUUCGAUGUGAUAAGCAUAUGAAUUCAGAGACGCUCUCAAACGUAUAUAGUCUAAGUUUCCUGUUGCUAUAGUAUAAAUUUGCUCUUCCUCCUUUACGUUUGUGUCUACAAAAAUGUUGUCAAUUGCUUUGAGGUAUAGAAAUGAUACGAUAACUCAUAGAAGCUAUAUCAUUGCAAAGCAACUUUUCAACUGUUUAAAAAUAUGAAGUUGGUUUUAAAUUUUGGAAAACUACAAACUUUCCACUGCCAUGAAAUCACAGUAGAGAUUGAAAAUUAUUAUGAAAUAAAAUUUCUAUUUUGCCACUGUUUACUUUGCAAUUGAAGGGAUUGCUAACAUUUUAUA
This is a long non-coding RNA of Rosa rugosa (rugosa rose), 1802 nucleotides long. RefSeq lists it as uncharacterized. Lineage: Eukaryota; Viridiplantae; Streptophyta; Magnoliopsida; Rosales; Rosaceae. The transcript is spliced from 3 exons. The record is from RefSeq and is a predicted model, not a curated record.